Molecule: ribosomal RNA, 446 nt
Filed under: uncultured organism
Description: partial 16S ribosomal RNA
Rfam family: Bacterial small subunit ribosomal RNA
Source: RNAcentral
ACACUCCUGCGGGAGGCAGCAGUGGGGAAUAUUGGACAAUGGGCGCAAGCCUGAUCCAGCCAUGCCGCGUGAGUGAUGAAGGCCCUAGGGUUGUAAAGCUCUUUCACCGGUGAAGAUAAUGACGGUAACCGGAGAAGAAGCCCCGGCUAACUUCGUGCCAGCAGCCGCGGUAAUACGAAGGGGGCUAGCGUUGUUCGGAUUUACUGGGCGUAAAGCGCACGUAGGCGGACUAUUAAGUCAGGGGUGAAAUCCCGGGGCUCAACCCCGGAACUGCCUUUGAUACUAGUAGUCUUGAGUUCGAGAGAGGUGAGUGGAAUUCCGAGUGUAGAGGUGAAAUUCGUAGAUAUUCGGAGGAACACCAGUGGCGAAGGCGGCUCACUGGCUCGAUACUGACGCUGAGGUGCGAAAGCGUGGGGAGCAAACAGGAUUAGAAACCCUGGUAGUCC